RNAcentral lists this long non-coding RNA (365 nucleotides) under Mytilus galloprovincialis (Mediterranean mussel). Lineage: Eukaryota; Metazoa; Mollusca; Bivalvia; Mytilida; Mytilidae. The record is from RNAcentral.
UGACGCAAAUGCAUGAGACGCAAGGAACUUUAGUCAGUCACAAUGCUAACUUGAAAAGGAACAUUUACUAUUAGAAAUGACAAGGUACGAUAAGGCCCGUUUUUGGCCCCCCUACUUUCCCAUUUUUGAAACUCUGUCUUGGAAUAAAAUUGAGAAAGGAAAUGGGUAAUGUGUCAAAGCGACAACAACCCGACCAUAGAGCAGACAACAGCCGAAGGCCACCAAUGGGUCUUCAAUAUAGCGAGAAACUCCCGCACCCGUAGGCGUCCUUCAGCUGGCCCUGAAAAAAUAUGUUCACUAGUACAGUGAUAAUUGACGUCAUACUAAACUCCGAUUUAUACACAAGAAACUAAAAUUAAAAAUCA